This 72-nucleotide transfer RNA is filed under the name Flavobacteriales bacterium. Its description in RNAcentral is "tRNA-Asp". It matches the Rfam family "tRNA". From Rfam's summary of the family: Transfer RNA (tRNA) molecules are approximately 80 nucleotides in length. Their secondary structure includes four short double-helical elements and three loops (D, anti-codon, and T loops). Further hydrogen bonds mediate the characteristic L-shaped molecular structure. tRNAs have two regions of fundamental functional importance: the anti-codon, which is responsible for specific mRNA codon recognition, and the 3' end, to which the tRNAs corresponding amino acid is attached (by aminoacyl-tRNA synthetases). tRNAs cope with the degeneracy of the genetic code in two manners: having more than one tRNA (with a specific anti-codon) for a particular amino acid; and 'wobble' base-pairing, i.e. permitting non-standard base-pairing at the 3rd anti-codon position. Lineage: Bacteria; Pseudomonadati; Bacteroidota; Flavobacteriia; Flavobacteriales. The record is from RNAcentral.
GGUGCCGUAGUUCAGUGGAAGAAUAUCCGACUGUCUAUCGGAAGGUCACGGGUUCGAACCCCGUCGGCACCG